AGUAACGCGUGAGUAACCUGCCUUUCANAGGGGGAUAAACGGUUCUGAAAAGAACGCUAAUACCGCAUGAGACUACAGAGCUGCAUGGCUCAGUGGUACAAAGGAGCAAUCCGCUGAAAGAUGGACUCGCGUCCGAUUAGAUAGUAGGCGGGGUAACGGCCCACCUAGUCGACGAUCGGUAGCCGGACUGAGAGGUUGAACGGCCACAUUGGGACUGAGACACGGCCCAGACUCCUACGGGAGGCAGCAUG
Molecule: ribosomal RNA, 251 nt
Filed under: uncultured bacterium
Lineage: Bacteria
Description: partial 16S ribosomal RNA
Rfam family: Bacterial small subunit ribosomal RNA
Source: RNAcentral